Molecule: ribosomal RNA, 253 nt
Filed under: uncultured bacterium
Lineage: Bacteria
Description: partial 16S ribosomal RNA
Rfam family: Bacterial small subunit ribosomal RNA
Source: RNAcentral
UACGUAGGGUGCGAGCGUUAAUCGGAAUUACUGGGCGUAAAGCGUGCGUAGGCGGUUCGUUAAGUCAGCUGUGAAAGCCCCGGGCUCAACCUGGGAACUGCGGUUGAAACUGGCGAACUAGAAUCUGGCAGAGGGGGGUGGAAUUCCACGUGUAGCAGUGAAAUGCGUAGAGAUGUGGAGGAACACCGAUGGCGAAGGUAGCCCCCUGGGCUGAGAUUGACGCUCAGGCACGAAAGCGUGGGGAGCAAACAGG